Molecule: ribosomal RNA, 1117 nt
Filed under: Hypnodendron microstictum
Lineage: Eukaryota; Viridiplantae; Streptophyta; Bryopsida; Hypnodendrales; Spiridentaceae
Description: eukaryotic LSU rRNA
Rfam family: Eukaryotic large subunit ribosomal RNA
Source: RNAcentral
UAAGCGGAGGAAAAGAAACUAACCAGGAUUUCCCUAGUAACGGCGAGCGAACCGGAAAGAGCCCAGCUUGAAAAUCGGGGUGCCCCGCACCCCGAGUUGUAGUCUGGAGAAGGUCCCUCUGCGCCGCGCCGGACCCAAGUUCCCUGGAAAGGGACGUCGGAGAGGGUGACAACCCCGUCCAGUCCGGACACGCGUCGCUCCACGAGGUCCUGUCCACGAGUCGGGCUGUUUGGGAAUGCAGCCCCAAUCGGAUGGUAAAUUCCACCCAAGGCUAAAUAUGGGCAAGAGACCGAUAGCGAACAAGUACCGCGAGGGAAAGAUGAAAAGGACUUUGAAAAGAGAGUUAAAAAGUGCUUGAAAUUGCUGGGAGGGAACCGAAUGGAAGCUGCGGCUGCGCCCCGGUUGGAUGCGGAACGGCCUUUCUAUCAAAAAGGCUGGUCUGCCGCUCAACGCGGGGCGCUGGUCAGCGUGGGCUAUCGCGGCGGGACAAAGGGCGGGCGCGCUCGCGCACCCGCCUUAUGCCGCGGCGGUGGCCGAGGAAGGAAGCAUGCGCUGUUUAUAAUAGCGUGGGCCCCGSCCCAACUGCAUGCUCGGGACGCUGGCGCAUUGAGCUCUUCAUCCGACCCGUCUUGAAACACGGACCAAGGAGUCUAACAUGUAUGCGAGCCCGUGGGCGGCAAACCCAUCGAGGCGAAAGUAACCUGAAAGGUGGGACCCCUYKUAUMWAAAAGGGCGCACCAUCGACCGACCGUGAUCUUCUGUGAAAGGUUUGAGUGCGAGCAUACCCGUUGGGACCCGAAAGAUGGUGAACUAUGCCUGAGCAGGGCGAAGCCAGAGGAAACUCUGGUGGAGGCUCGUAGCGAUACUGACGUGCAAAUCGUUCGUCAGACUUGGGUAUAGGGGCGAAAGACUAAUCGAACCAUCUAGUAGCUGGUUCCCUCCGAAGUUUCCCUCAGGAUAGCUGGAGCUCGCGCGCUGAGUUUUAUCAGGUAAAGCGAAUGAUUAGAGGCAUCGGGGGUGCAACACCCUCGACCUAUUCUCAAACUUUAAAUGGGUAAGCCGCCGGGGUUGCUCCGCUCUGAACCCCGGCACCCAAUCAGAGCUCCAAGUGGGCCAU